UUUCUUCAGGAAGUGAUAAAAUAUCCCAACCCAACCAGCUCCUGCCCCAGGCAUCCUGUCAGGCCCUAUUGGCCAGAAUAGGGUAACAUGCUCUCCACACCCCCAGCCACUCCUAACAAAGAGGAAGGGGAGGACCGGGAUGGAUUUCCUGCAGUCACGAUGCAUUCCCAGGUAGCCCAUUGCAUCAGGAGACCCGAACAGUUCACAUUUUAUUCAUGAGUAUUACUGUGGUUCCGGGUAGAAGAAAUGGCUGCUGGGAAAAUACCAACAAUGUUUGUAAGGACAGUCACGGACCAAAAGUCCGCAGAGGGUAUGGAUUGUCCUUGGAGCUGAAGAAGUCACGGAAGAUAGGGAGUUCCCAUUGUGGGACAGCAGAAGUGAAUCCGAGCAUCAUCCGUGAGAAUUUGGGUUCGAUCCCUGGCCUCACCAGUGGGUCAGGGAUCCAGUGUUGCUGUGAGCUGUGGAGUAGGUUGCAGAUGCAGCUUGGAUCCUGCAUUGCUGGCCCUGUGGUGUAGGCUGGCUGCUGCAGCUCCUAUUAGAGCUCUGGUCUGGGAAGGUCCAUGUACCACGGCUGUGGCCUAAAAAAACAGUUACAGAAAAUAAAGACAGGGGUGCAGUGGUGCCGGCAGCACAUGGGACUAAGGUCUUCAGUGAUGACCACAACGACAGAGAAGGGACAAAUGACUGCCCAGGAGGAGUGAUGAGGCUGUGUCUAGGAAGGCCACAACCACCUUACCAGACGGGCGGCCUGCUCCCUCUGUUGCCCUGGACCCUCGGGUGUGAGGACCGAUCCUCUGCUCAGAGUCUAGCCUCCUCUGUCCUCCUUGCUUCAUUCUACCUGCAGCCCACCCAUCUUUCUUUGGAUCUGCCUUUCUUUGAGAAGUUAUCCUCUGUAUUGGCUAUCAGGUGGCAGAACCUGUGGACCCAAAAGGAGCAGUUGCACUGGCAGGGACUAGGUGGACUUCGGGUCGCCAUGGAAAACUCUUGGUGGAGCACAGGCAAGAGUUGGGGCGGGAGGACCUGCACCCCAUAAGAAAUACCCACCAGCUCUCAGAUCCUCGAGGGUUGUAGGCGCACCGAGACAUUCAAGCUGGGAAAUGAAGACUGUGAUAGGGCAGAGCGAGACCCAAGCUUCCCCGGGCAAUGGCAGCGUGAGCUCCUGUCCAACUGCCAAAAGAUGAGAGUUGGCAUCUUACCAGAAGGUUUGGAGGGAUAGGAUGAGAGACGCCUGGCCAUUGGCCGGAAGCGCAUGGCGGGGGAGGGGGUUGCGGAAGCUGCCUCGUGAUUGGCCCGGGCCACAGGGAUGUCACAGGGAGGCAUUGUGACUUGAGGGCAAGGCAGUUAUAAAAGCCCAGUGCUUCCACCGUCUCCCAGACGGAGGAUAUGGCUUUUCAGCUGUUCCUGCUCUUGCUCUUCAAGGCGGUGUCCUCUGCCGCCUUCUCUGCGCCUGCACAUGGCAUGCCCCAGGCCCACCUGUCCUGCCCCGGGCCUCUCACCCACACUUGGUGUACCACAUUCCUGUUCGCAUCCAGCUUUGAGCCCCUUUGCGGGCGGAUGAGCCUACGCACCCGCACCCGGCGCCUCCUCCACCCGCAGCCCUCCUCGGGCCUGGCCCAGCUCCUCAACACUGUGCUCAGGUUCUACAACAGGGGCUUGGACAUCUGGAACCAGAACCAAGCAGACCCCCACGCGGAGGGGAAGCACCCCUCCCAGCCCUGUUGGCCAAGAGACCUGGACACGUGCCACACCUCCAACUCCACACUGCACAGAAGGCAGCUGGCCACCCCUCCUCAGACAUCCAUGGACCCCAGAUCCAAGAUCUCCACCUUGGCCCUCCUGCUCCACAAAGGAGAGUCACAGACUCACAGGGCGAGUUCCUGUACCUCCUGCCCACCUCCAUGCAACCUCUCAAAGGGCUCUCCAGCCCAUGUGGGACCACCAGCCUGGGUGAGGCGACUGGUCCAGUUAGGGCCACCAGUCCUGGCAGGGCCAAAAGUCCAGGCAAGGCGACCAGCCCAGGUGGGACCACCAGCCCAGGUGAGGACACCAGCCCAGGAAGGACCAGCAGCCCAGAUGGGACCAGUGGCCCUGGUGAUGCUACCACCACAGACGGGGACACCAGCCAUGACAGAAACCCUGUGGUCACAGCUAGGCUUUGGAAACAUUGAGAGUUUGCUCCUUCUGUUGACUCGCUGUGCUCUGGUGCUGCUCUUUUCCUUCUGGACAUUUAUCUCAUGCAGAGAGAUAAAGGACUACCGUGAGUUCCAACAAGAGCAGCUGGCAGAGCUGGGCAAAGGAUUGAAGAUGAUGGGUAAAGCCCUGGGAGAACUUGAGAAGACACUAAAUGCAGAAAGAGAACAUAAAAAUCAUCUUUCCAAGGAGCUGUCUGAGCUGAAGGCAGAGCUCAGAAUUUCUGAAAAGGAAACAGAGAGAUGGAAAAAGCUGUUUUUUCUAUUGUCCCGGGCACAACACCUUUUGAAGGCCUUCCCAGAAGAUGCAAAGGGGCACUGUGUGCAGGUGGAGCAGGGCCCUUAGAGGCAGGCCCAGGCCUGGGAGCUGGAGAGUUUCUUCCUCCCUGUGCACGCCCCCUAGAGGGGGAGAAGAGGGGUGGGGAGGGAGGGCAAAGCGGAGGCUGGGGUAGGGGUGCUGGGACAGAGACGUGGCCUGAAUUUCAUGAUGUAUGUAUAUUUUGAAUAAAUAAUUGAAUGUUGGAAGGCAAAGAAGUGUCCCCAGGAGAUUGCGUCACCUGGGAUGGGGGUCACAAGUCCAUGCACCCUCCAGCUGGAUGGGUCUCAGAGCCCGUGCAGAGCUGGGCGCCGUUCCCAUGGAAGGUAACCAGCCAGAGGGGUGGCACAAGACCUCACAGAUACGUCGUGGCAGAACCGGGGCUUGGACUUGCCGUUAUGGCUCCAGCUCUGGCCGUGGGUCCUGCCUGAUGCGGGCGUUUGAUGAGCAAAGGGGAGGGGUGAGACCAGGGUAAGAGAGGCCAGAGGCAUGGGCUGUACCCCCCUGCCCCAGGAGAGGGGCUGGGACGGUGGGCUGUGCACUCAGAGACCCCGAAGCCCUACAGGAAGAGGGGAGGUGCUCCGGCUGCUCUGGGUUGGAGGCAUGGGGUGAGUGGACAGCGCAAGGCAGAGCAGGGACAAGUGGGAACAGGUGCACCUGGGACACUGGAGGGGGGGGACCACUUCCAAGAGGCAGAGCUGAGUGUUGGGGGCUGUGGGGCAGGAGCUCAGGUUAACUGGGCCCCGAGGCAGGGCUAUGCCCCACCUGAUCACAGCCCAGUCCCUGCCUUCCCCAGCCCCUGCCUGCCGCCUCUGCUGCUGCUCAGCCGCCAAUAUCGGGGCCCUGAGACCCACAAGGAAGCUCUGAGCUCCAGGGAGCCAGGCGGACCCAUAGGGCAUUGGAUAGAUGUGUAUUUAUACUUAGAGGUUCACAGGAAGGCCCCAAGCCCCCGGCAGCCAUUUCUCCCCAGCAGUGACAUCUCACAUCACUAAGGACAGCAUUCCUCCAGAGACGCCAGCGUGGUGUGUGCGUUUGGAGCUGUCUGUCUGUCACCUGUGCACCCCCGUGACCAGGGCACAGACCAAGGGCCGAGUUGCCCCAGCAGACUAAGUCCUCCCUCAAGCCAGCCAACCUGCCCCCACUGCUCCUGCCUGAAGCAGCCACCAGCCCGCUCUCCCCUGUGGGAGUCUUGUCAUCUCUAGAGUGUGGAUGAGCAGAAUCAGAGCUGUGGCCUUUGGAGAUAGGACUCGUGUUUCCCCCACUCAGCAGGAUGCCCAGGUGUCCGACCCGGUUGUCCUCCCCCGUUCUUUCCUCUCUGUGGCUGGGUGGGCUGCAUGGUUCCAGGUUUUGGAGACUCCCGUAAACCUGCAGAGAACUUAAGCUUUCCUUUUCUGGCUCGCGUGAUUUAUGGUCACCUUUUUAAGAACGUGUCACAGCGGGGAGUGCCAGCCUUCAGGUUCUGUUCUCCUUUGCAUUUCCCUCAAGACUAGUGAUGGUGAUUGUAGUUUCAUAGGCUUCUUUCCACCUUUGUAUCCUCCAUGAUGAAUGUUAAUGUCUUUUGCCAAUUUUCUCUUGGGAUCACUUGGGGGGUUUUUUGCUUUUUUGGGGGGGCGGGGGGCUGCACCCAUGGCAUGUGCAGGUUCCCAGGCUAGGGGUCCAGUCGGAGCUGGAGCUGCCAGCCUAAACCACAGCCACAGCAACCCGGGAUCUGAGCCGAGUCUGCAACCUACAACACAACUCACGGCCAUGCCAGAUCCUUAACCCCCUGAGUGAGGCCAUGUUCUCAUGGAUGCUAGUCAGGUGUGUCUUACCCACUGAGCCACAACGGGAACUCCACAUACGUUGGCUUUUACCGUUGAGUUUUGAGAGUUCUUUUGUCCGAUGUGUGCUUCGCCAACAUGUGCUCCUAGUCUGCAGCUUGUCUUUUUGUCCUAAUACAAUCUUACAGAGAAAAAAAAAAAUCGCAUUUUUGAUCAAGUCCAGUAUUAUCAACUGUCUUGUUUUAUGGAUUGCGCUUUUAGUGUCAUGUCUAAAAAGACUUCAGCGAACUAGGUCCUGAAAUUUCCUCCUGCGCUUCCUUCUGAAAGUAUUACAGUUUGACAUUUUGCUUUUAAAUCUAUCCUGUGGUCAAUUCGAGUUCACUUUUUUAUCAGGGCUGAAGCUCAGGUCAGGUGUUUUGGUUCAUUUGCUUUCUUUUUGUUUCUAGGCCUGUAGGUGUUCAUUGCUCUGGGGCGGUUUGUGGCAUGGACCAUCCUUCUCCGUUAAAUCAGUUUCACCUUUUGCAGGAAUCAGUCCUAUGAGUGUAGGUCCUGCUCCGUUGGUCCUGUGCCUUUUCCUCCACCACCACCAGAGUGUCCAGGUUUUGUUCUCCCUGGCCUCAUGGAGGGGCGGGGGCUGGCCUGGGAAAUUCCCUCCAGACACCCACAGCCCCAUGGAGAUGCAUCAGCCCCCAGCGAGCCCUGGAAACACGGCAGGUGGAGUGUGUGCAUGUGUUGGUGGCACCUGAGAGCCCUCCUCGCAGAGGACCUUGCCCCAGAGCGAGUGAACAUGUACAGGCCAAGUGGCGGGAGGAGGGGUGACACAGGUUGGAUUUCAUUGAGCACUGAACACGGCAGGUGGCCUGGUGACCUGUUGACCAUGACAGCUGAGGAGCCAACAGGGUCUUAGCCCCCUCGGCCCCAUUCCCCAGGUCUCGGGCCAGAGAGACCCGGAAACCCUGCCAGACACAGGCUUUUGCUAAGUGCAGGCACAGCUCCCAAAGUUGGGGACAGGGGACAGGGCAGAGGGUGGUGAAGGACAGCCCGCAGAUGGGUGAGCUGGUGCCAGGCGGGAGAAAGCCCAGCAGAUCCCAGGUCCUUCUGUGAAUGCAUGUCUACGUGGCCAAGAUAUUGACAGCUGGUGGUUGCAGCAGAAAUCAGAGCCAGCUCAGCCGCGGACUGGCUGGCUCACCCACCACAAGAGCAGCCUGGCCCAGGAAGGAGCCUGCCCUUUCUUAUCAAAUACGCAAAACAUAAAACAUACCAUCUGAAUUUUUGUAAGUGGAAAAUGCUACUGAAGAGCACCCCAAUCUUUGCUCCUCCCAUCGCCAGCACCCAUCUUCAGAAAGCUUUCGCCUAGUAAAUCUGGAACUCUGUCCCCACUGAACAUUGUCUGCCCCCUCCCCCAGCCCCUGGCACCCACCGUUCUGCUCUCUGCCUCUAGGCCUCUGAUGACGCUAGGGGCCUCAGGUGAGUGGAAUCCUGCCGGAUUCGUCCUUCUGUGACCAGCUCGUCUCCCUGAGCUGAAUGUCCCCAAAGUUCCUCCAUGCUGUGUCCUGGGUCCGAAGCUCUUUCCUGCUCAGCCUGAGGAAUAUUCCGUUGUGUGGCUGGACCACAGCUUGCUUAUCCAUUCAUUUGCCAGCAGACACUUGAGUUGCUUCCAUGCUUUACCUGCUGUGAGCAUAGGUGUGCCAAAUAUCAUUCUGACACGCUGACUUCACUAUUCUUCUUGGAUAGUAUACCCAGAAGUGGACUUGCAGGGUUAUCUAGUGGUUCUACUUAUGGUGUUUUGAGGACUCUCCAUCCUGUUCCAUUAGAGUUGGUUUACAGUGUUCUGUCAAUUUGCUGCUGUAGGGCAAAGUGACCCAGUCAUACAUACACAUAUGCAUUCUUUUGCUUACAUUUUCCUCCAUCCUGUUCCGUCACAAGUGCCUGGAUAGUGUUCCCAGGGCUAUACAGCAGGCUCUCAUUAGUUAUCCAUUCCAAAGGCGAUAGUCUGAAUCUAUUAACCCCAAGCUCCCAGUCCAUCCCACUCCCUCCUCUUCCCC
Molecule: long non-coding RNA, 6310 nt
Filed under: Sus scrofa (pig)
Lineage: Eukaryota; Metazoa; Chordata; Mammalia; Artiodactyla; Suidae
Description: lncRNA (ENSSSCG00050002738.1)
Source: RNAcentral